This 152-nucleotide unclassified non-coding RNA is filed under the name uncultured Yarrowia. RNAcentral's name for it is "sequence contains ITS2". Lineage: Eukaryota; Fungi; Ascomycota; Dipodascomycetes; Dipodascales; Dipodascaceae. The record is from RNAcentral.
AACGCACAUUGCGCGGUAUGGCAUUCCGUACCGCACGGAUGGAGGAGCGUGUUCCCUCUGGGAUCGCAUUGCUUUCUUGAAAUGGAUUUUUUUAAACUCUCAAUUAUUACGUCAUUUCACCUCCUUCAUCCGAGAUUACCCGCUGAACUUAA